Molecule: ribosomal RNA, 416 nt
Filed under: uncultured bacterium
Lineage: Bacteria
Description: bacterial SSU rRNA
Rfam family: Bacterial small subunit ribosomal RNA
Source: RNAcentral
AGGGAAUCUUCCGCAAUGGACGCAAGUCUGACGGAGCAACGCCGCGUGAGGGAAGAAGGCCUUCGGGUUGUAAACCUCUGUCCUCUGGGACGAAAGGGUUGGAGACAACUGAUGACGGUACCAGAGGAGGAAGCCCCGGCUAACUACGUGCCAGCAGCCGCGGUAAUACGUAGGGGGCGAGCGUUGUCCGGAAUCACUGGGCGUAAAGGGCGCGUAGGUGGUUAUCUAAGUUAGACGUGAAAUCCAUGGGCUUAACCUGAGGCUUGCGUUUAAGACUGGAUAACUUGAGUGCAGGAGAGGGGAGCGGAAUUCCUGGUGUAGCGGUGAUAUGCGUAGAUAUCAGGAGGAACACCAGUGGCGAAGGCGGCUUUCUGGACUGUAACUGACACUGAGGCGCGAAAGCCGGGGGAGCAAAC